AUUGAACGCUGGCGGCAUGCCUUACACAUGCAAGUCGAACGGCAGCACGGGUGCUUGCACCUGGUGGCGAGUGGCGAACGGGUGAGUAAUACAUCGGAACAUGUCCUGUAGUGGGGGAUAGCCCGGCGAAAGCCGGAUUAAUACCGCAUACGAUCUACGGAUGAAAGCGGGGGACCUUCGGGCCUCGCGCUAUAGGGUUGGCCGAUGGCUGAUUAGCUAGUUGGUGGGGUAAAGGCCUACCAAGGCGACGAUCAGUAGCUGGUCGGAGAGGACGACCAGCCACACUGGGACUGGGCCACGGCCCAGGCUCCUACGGGAGGCAGCAGUCGGGAAUUUUGGACAAUGGUCGAAAGCCUGAUCCAGCAAUGCCGCGUGUGUGAAGAAGGCCUCCGGGUUGUAAAGCACUUUUGUCGGGAAAAAAAUCCUUGGCCCUAAUACGGUCGGGGGAUGACGGUACCGGAAAAAUAAGCACCGGCUAACUACGUG
RNAcentral lists this ribosomal RNA (486 nucleotides) under uncultured bacterium. Its description in RNAcentral is "partial 16S ribosomal RNA". It matches the Rfam family "Bacterial small subunit ribosomal RNA", at positions 30 to 507 of the family's 1533-position model. The record is from RNAcentral.